Molecule: unclassified non-coding RNA, 276 nt
Filed under: Glomus sp.
Lineage: Eukaryota; Fungi; Glomeromycota; Glomeromycetes; Glomerales; Glomeraceae
Description: partial internal transcribed spacer 2
Rfam family: 5.8S ribosomal RNA (bases 1-65)
Source: RNAcentral
GUGAAUCAUCGAAUUUUUGAACGCAAAUUGCGCUCUCCUGGGUGAGUGUGCCUAUUUGAGGGUCAGCCUCUAAAAAUAGACCUCGUUGCUGUUUCGCGGUGGCGUUCGGGGGAAAUUGGGUCAUCUUAAAUUCUUUUGAGUUAAGCGACUUAAAAUAUUGUUUUGGUUCUAUGAACGUUUCUAAGAUCUAUUUCUUUACACGUUUAAGGUAUGGAUUUUUCUUAGCCGUGACCAUCAUAUCGGAUCGAGUCGAUACUUUUUCAUUAAGUGACCUCA